This 375-nucleotide unclassified non-coding RNA is filed under the name uncultured Caryophanales bacterium. RNAcentral describes it as "uncultured Bacillales bacterium contains 16S-23S intergenic spacer region". The record is from RNAcentral. Lineage: Bacteria; Bacillati; Bacillota; Bacilli; Caryophanales.
UCCGACUUGUCGUCGGCAGUCACCUGUGAGUGCCCAACCGAAUGCUGGCAACACAGAUCAAGGGUUGCGCUCGUUGCGGGACUUAACCCAACAUCUCACGACACGAGCUGACGACAACCAUGCACCACCUGUCACCGCUGCCCCGAAGGGAAGGCCUGUCUCCAGACCGGUCAGCGGGAUGUCAAGACCUGGUAAGGUUCUUCGCGUUGCUUCGAAUUAAACCACAUGCUCCACUGCUUGUGCGGGCCCCCGUCAAUUCCUUUGAGUUUCAGUCUUGCGACCGUACUCCCCAGGCGGAGUGCUUAAUGCGUUAGCUUCGGCACAGAAGGUGGUACCCUCCAACACCUAGCACUCAUCGUUUACGGCGUGGACUAC